GACGAACGCAGGCGGCGUGCAUAAUACAUGCAAGUAGAACGCUGAAGGAAGGAGCUUGCUCUUUCCGGAUGAGUUGCGAACGGGUGAGUAACGCGUAGGUAACCUGCCUGGUAGCGGGGGAUAACUAUUGGAAACGAUAGCUAAUACCGCAUAACAGUAGAUAUCGCAUGAUAUGUGCUUGAAAGGUGCAAAUGCAUCACUACCAGAUGGACCUGCGUUGUAUUAGCUAGUUGGUGAGGUAACGGCUCACCAAGGCAACGAUACAUAGCCGACCUGAGAGGGUGAUCGGCCACACUGGGACUGAGACACGGCCCAGACUCCUACGGGAGGCAGCAGUAGGGAAUCUUCGGCAAUGGACGGAAGUCUGACCGAGCAACGCCGCGUGAGUGAAGAAGGUUUUCGGAUCGUAAAGCUCUGUUGUAAGAGAAGAACGAGUGUGAGAGUGGAAAGUUCACACUGUGACGGUAUCUUACCAGAAAGGGACGGCUAACUACGUGCCAGCAGCCGCGGUAAUACGUAGGUCCCGAGCGUUGUCCGGAUUUAUUGGGCGUAAAGCGAGCGCAGGCGGUUAGAUAAGUCUGAAGUUAAAGGCUGUGGCUUAACCAUAGUACGCUUUGGAAACUGUUUAACUUGAGUGCAAGAGGGGAGAGUGGAAUUCCAUGUGUAGCGGUGAAAUGCGUAGAUAUAUGGAGGAACACCGGUGGCGAAAGCGGCUCUCUGGCUUGUAACUGACGCUGAGGCUCGAAAGCGUGGGGAGCAAACAGG
RNAcentral lists this ribosomal RNA (765 nucleotides) under uncultured Streptococcus sp. RNAcentral's name for it is "bacterial SSU rRNA". It matches the Rfam family "Bacterial small subunit ribosomal RNA", at positions 28 to 776 of the family's 1533-position model. The record is from RNAcentral. Lineage: Bacteria; Bacillati; Bacillota; Bacilli; Lactobacillales; Streptococcaceae.